GUUACAGAGGUAUAUUUAGUUUCUUUGUUAAGACUAUUCUAUAGGAACAGUUACAGAGGCAACAGAUGGUGUUGAUAAGAGUUUACUGUUUCAACUGACUCAUCCAGGACUACCUCCAGUUCUGUUUCAUGCUGAUACGCCCAGCUCUGCAGAAAGAUGGAUCAGGGCCAUGAAAGAAGCAACUCACCUGGAGUGACGAGUAAAAUUAUCAAAAUUUGUGGUUACAGUAGAAAGUUUGUAUCAAAAAUUUGUCACCUGUACAUCCAACGAUACUGCCAAGAGGCUUUAGUUCAAAGAUUAUAUUUGUGUGAAGAACCAAACAACUUAAAAUAUAAAUUAAUAAUAUGUCUGUAUAGAGUAAAAAAAGCACCACUGUAUAAAGUAAUAUAUUAAUAUUUUUCUGACACAGUUUCUAAAAUAAACUGAAGAUAAAUAACAAAUCUGCCUGUUAUGAAUUGAGCUGUUGGAAGAAAAUUCUUUAAAACUCUUAAACGAAAGCUUAACUACUACUUAGCAGAGACGAUAGCAGCCAUGGGUUUCUGUAGUUGAUUAACUGAAUUUUUUUUUAUAUGUCGUUAAGUUAUAUAACUACACAACACAAUGAUUAGGGCUGAAUAUAUUUACUUGAACAAAAAUCUUACCAUGAUACUGACUAUUGUCUAUAUAUUAAAAUAAAGUUUAUAAAUACCCUGAUACUGACUAUUGUCUAUAUAUUAAAAUAAAGUUUAUAAAUACCCUGAUACUGACCAUUGGUUACCUAUUAAAAAAUAAAGUUUAUAAAUACCCUGAUACUGACUAUUGGCUAUAUAUUAAAAUAAAGUUUAUAAAUACCCUGAUACUGACAAUUGAUGUUUGUUUACAAACAUCAAGUUUUCACUGUUAUAAUAAUAAUUUAUUGAAUAAUAUUAGGCAGGUGUUUGUUUACAAGCAUCAAGUUUCCACUGUUAUAAUAAUAAUUUAUUGAAUAAUAUUAGGCAGGUGUUUGUUUACAAGCAUCAAGUUUCCACUGUUAUAAUAAUAAUUUAUUGAAUAAUAUUAGGCCAGGUGUUUAUUUACAAGCAUCAAGUUUCCACUGUUAUAAUAAUAAUUUAUUGAAUAAUAUUAGGCAAGUGUUUGUUUACAAGCAUCAAGUUUCCACUGUUAUAAUAAUAAUUUAUUGAAUAAUAUUAGGCAGGUGUUUGUUUACAAACAUCAAGUUUCCACUGUUAUAAUAAUUAUGUGACUUAGUUAACUGAAUAUUUUAUUUAUGUGUAGUCCAACAGUUUAGUACAUGAACAGCCUAUUAUCUUAAUGUACAAUACUUCUGAUUCAAGUAAACUUUAAACACUGUGAUAUUAUUUUUAGAGUAUUUAUGAUAGUAUGUUAAAAAAUGCACUUUUUAAAAUAAAUCUUUUCAAAUUGUAUUUGGUUUCAUGAAAGUUAGAUUUGUGUAUGUUGCUUAGCUCUGCACGAGAAAUGUUUAUGUUUAGUUGUAAAAUGUUGUUAGGUUUGGCCGAAGAAUGGCCAUUUACCUAUGUACAGAAAAAGUCUGGAUUCUUGGACAGUUUGCAUCUCAAGUUGCAUUUCUCAGAAUUCUCAGGUGGUUUCUAGUUUUGUUUUGAUGCUAAUGUUUUAGAUUAAAAGCUGUGAUGAUUGGAUUUUAUAAUAUAGAAAUGCUGACUGUAGCUUUUAAGUCUGUGCCUGUAUAACAAUCUUAGACCGAGUGUUUCUUGUAGUGUAACAUGGAAUGUUACGUAGUUUAUAGUUACAAAUAGUGUAAAUGUUGUACUCAAUUUUUUAUCUAAAAUUCACUGACAUUUAUUUCUGAUACCUCCACUAUUUUAACAGGCUUUUAGACGUUUAGUAUUGUUCUUGCAUGUUAUGUUCAUUUAAACCUGCAAUCAGAAUAUGUAUAAAAAUUGUUAGUGAUAUACAAUACCAGUUGUAACCUGGUAGUUACAGAGCAUGUCUAUACCAACUGAGAAUUUGGGAUUUAUUAAAAGUGAUGUUUAAAAUUGUCGUGUAAUCAUAAUUACCUCAUACAAAGCUGUCCAUGAAUGAUGGAGUACAUGUACACUAAAUUGUGAAAUUAGUUUGUUUAUCGUUGAAUGUUUAUUUAAUAUGUUUUAGAAAAACCAUAAAUCCAAUAACAAAACUGUUGGUUCACUAAAUCUUGAUGACAAGCUGACCAGAGUAGCCAAAUUUUUAUAAUGAUAAUGUAUAUCUUGCUACUAAUAAAAGUUACAAAAUUUUAAACUUCUUCAUCAGUUUAAUAGGACUGUUAUUUUAGCAUAUAUAAACUGUAGUAUCAAGCUUUUAUUCAGAAGUGUUUAAUUGGGGAAAAUUUAAUACCAGUUUUUUUUCUUGAAAUGAUAAGAAAUUGUAUGUAAAAAAGCUAUUAUUAUAAAGAGGAAUUAUUGGAGACAAUGUUUGAAACUGUAAAUAAACAUGUUUCCUUGAGUGACUCUAUGUUAUUGUCUUAUUAAAAUAAUAGGUUCAUUUGUAACAGGACUAUAACAUACUAUGCCCAUAUAAAACAGGAAUUGCACAACACAUGACACUGAGAAUGGGCUAUGCCUCAAAUCUGUAACAUCACCAAUUAGUAAAGAGCUGUGAGGAUCUAAAACUGGAUGUCAUACAGGUCUUUUUCUCAGAAAAGCUCAUUUUCUUCAGGGUUCUAAAACAAUAUGUUUGUUAAAAUAAAAGCCAUGUUUCAAGGAGUAAUGUUUGUACCAGGGUGAGGAGUUUAACAUUAUGUUUUCGGGAGUAAUUCUUGUAACUAGGUGAUGUGUUUCACAUUAGGUUUAAAGGAGUAACACUUGCAACAAGUCGACAUUAGGUUCUAGGAAGUAAGCUGUAACUAGGUGAUGUGUUUGACAUAAGGUUUUUAGGAGUGAAGCUUGAAACAAGGUAACGUGUUUGACAUUAGGUUUCGUGACGUUACUGAAAGUCAAUCCACUAUAAUAACCAGUGAAUGUUGCAUGCCCUGUGGUCAGUUGUUAAGUGAUGGCUCUGUGUAAAUCUUUAGAGUCUAUAAUAUGCCCAUUUCACCUGUAAGUCAAAUAAGGCAAGAUUCAGAUAAAAUUAUCAAAAGAACCAACAGAAAGAUAGGAACUUAUUUGAGACAAAAUGCCAAAGGGGUAAUCUUGUAAAAUACAGUUGCAUCAGAUGACCAAAAUAUUUGUAAAUGUUUGGCACAGAUCAAUUUAUGGGAUAACCACACAACACAAUUAUUAACUAUGUAUUGUCAGAAAGAAAAAUUAGGUAUGUCCAAUUUAAACUGUACUGCAACUAAGGAUAUGUUCAACAUAAACUGUACUGCAACUAAGGAUACGUCCAACUUAAACUGUACUGCAACUAAGGAUACGUCCAAUUUAAACUGUACUGCAACUAAGGAUACGUCCAAUUUAAACUGUACU
Long non-coding RNA from Limulus polyphemus (Atlantic horseshoe crab), 3398 nucleotides. RefSeq lists it as uncharacterized. The transcript is spliced from 4 exons. The record is from RefSeq and is a predicted model, not a curated record. Lineage: Eukaryota; Metazoa; Arthropoda; Merostomata; Xiphosura; Limulidae.